Molecule: non-coding RNA, 25 nt
Filed under: Drosophila erecta
Lineage: Eukaryota; Metazoa; Arthropoda; Insecta; Diptera; Drosophilidae
Also listed under: 1 other name
Source: RNAcentral
UGAAGUUUGUUUUCCUUCUGGGUUG